CCCUUAGAUGUUCUGGGCCGCACGCGCGUUACACUGAUGAAUUCAACGAGCCUAGCCUUGUCCGAAAGGUCCGGGUAAUCUCUGAAACUUCAUCGUGAUGGGGAUAGAUCAUUGCAAUUAUUGAUCUUCAACGAGGAAUUCCUAGUAAGCGCAAGUCAUCAGCUUGCGUUGAUUACGUCCCUGCCCUUUGUACACACCGCCCGUCGCUUGUACCGAUUGGAUGGUCCGGUGAAAUCUUCGGAUAGCUGGUAGUUGGCUUGCCAUCUACUGCUAAAAGUUGCUUAAACCUUAUCAUCUAGAGGAACAAGAAGUCGUAACA
RNAcentral lists this ribosomal RNA (319 nucleotides) under uncultured eukaryote. Its description in RNAcentral is "partial 18S ribosomal RNA". It matches the Rfam family "Eukaryotic small subunit ribosomal RNA", at positions 1470 to 1796 of the family's 1831-position model. The record is from RNAcentral.